UACGUAGGGGGCGAGCGUUAUCCGGAUUCAUUGGGCGUAAAGCGCGCGUAGGCGGCCGCCUAAGCGGAACCUCUAACCCCGGGGCUCAACCUCGGGCCGGGUUCCGGACUGGGCGGUUCGAGUGCGGUAGAGGAGAGCGGAAUUCCCGGUGUAGCGGUGGAAUGCGCAGAUAUCGGGAAGAACACCGAUGGCGAAGGCAGCUCUCUGGGCCGUCACUGACGCUGAGGCGCGAAAGCUGGGGGAGCGAACAGG
This 252-nucleotide ribosomal RNA is filed under the name uncultured bacterium. RNAcentral's name for it is "partial 16S ribosomal RNA". It matches the Rfam family "Bacterial small subunit ribosomal RNA", at positions 524 to 776 of the family's 1533-position model. The record is from RNAcentral.